GGCGCGCCCCGGGCGGGGCGGGGGCACGGGGGGAACGCGAAGAACCUUACCUGGUCUUGACAUCCACAGAACUUGCCAGAGAUGCCUUGGUGCCUUCGGGAACUGUGAGACAGGUGCUGCAUGGCUGUCGUCAGCUCGUGUUGUGAAAUGUUGGGUUAAGUCCCGCAACGAGCGCAACCCUUAUCCUUUGUUGCCAGCGGUUCGGCCGGGAACUCAAAGGAGACUGCCAGUGAUAAACUGGAGGAAGGUGGGGAUGACGUCAAGUCAUCAUGGCCCUUACGACCAGGGCUACACACGUGCUACAAUGGCGCAUACAAAGAGAAGCGACCUCGCGAGAGCAAGCGGACCUCAUAAAGUGCGUCGUAGUCCGGAUUGGAGUCUGCAACUCGACUCCAUGAAGUCGGAAUCGCUAGUAAUCGUGAAUCAGAAUGUCACGGUGAAUACGUUCCCGG
This 452-nucleotide ribosomal RNA is filed under the name uncultured bacterium. RNAcentral's name for it is "bacterial SSU rRNA". It matches the Rfam family "Bacterial small subunit ribosomal RNA", at positions 916 to 1377 of the family's 1533-position model. The record is from RNAcentral.